RNAcentral lists this ribosomal RNA (246 nucleotides) under uncultured Parachlamydiaceae bacterium. Its description in RNAcentral is "partial 16S ribosomal RNA". It matches the Rfam family "Bacterial small subunit ribosomal RNA", at positions 796 to 1041 of the family's 1533-position model. The record is from RNAcentral. Lineage: Bacteria; Pseudomonadati; Chlamydiota; Chlamydiia; Parachlamydiales; Parachlamydiaceae.
CUUGCCCUAAACGAUGUAUACUAGGUGUAGCUGGACUCAACCCCAGUUGUGCCGUAGCUAACGCGAUAAGUAUACCGCCUGAGGAGUACACUCGCAAGGGUGAAACUCAAAAGAAUUGACGGGGACCCGCACAAGCAGUGGAGUAUGUGGUUUAAUUCGAUGCAACGCGAAGAACCUUACCCAGGCUUGACAUACACAGGACGAUACUAGAAAUAGUAUUUCCCUUCGGGGUCUGUGAACAGGUGC